RNAcentral lists this ribosomal RNA (212 nucleotides) under uncultured fungus. RNAcentral's name for it is "partial small subunit ribosomal RNA". The stretch from base 86 to 212 matches the Rfam family "Eukaryotic small subunit ribosomal RNA", at positions 735 to 864 of the family's 1831-position model. Lineage: Eukaryota; Fungi. The record is from RNAcentral.
GGCCUGACUGAGCGGUCUUGCUAACGUAAGCACUGCCCGGUUGGGUCUUUCCUUCUGGGGAACCAGCUGCCUUUAACUGGGUGGGUUGGGGAUCCAGGACUUUUACUUUGAAAAAAUUAGAGUGUUCAAAGCAGGCAUUAGCUUGAAUACAUUAGCAUGGAAUAAUAAAAUAGGACUUUGGUUCUAUUUUGUUGGCUUCUAGGACCGAAGUA